GGAGGAGGGGGAGAAGAAGACAGAUGAGGCGGGUUGGGAACGCUGCCAGCAGAGUGAAGGGAGGCGAGGAGGGGGAGGAGGAAGAACUCCCACUGCAGCCGCUGCUGAGGCUCCAAGAGGUUUACACUCUCCCUGCCCUCACAACCACCUCCCUGUCUUGCCACUUUGUUGCAACUCCGACAACCUUCCCAUCCCCAAGGAGAAGAAUGAUGGCUUUAUGGAGAAAGAGAAAAAGAAUGAACAUGAAAGAGGAACUGGUCAGGAGAAAAAGACAGAGAACACUUGUUUUGGCUCACAGACAGAACAACAACAAAGGUUUUUCCCCCCAUCCAGAGGCCUGUUUCAGGGAAACACCUCCACCCUUAUGUCCAGCCCAGGCCUCACAGGUUCGAAUCUGAAUAUGGAGAUAAGUCGGCGGCGUAUCUUCAGCCUUGAGCCUUUCCAUCAGAGCAGCAUCAUAAACAGCCGGCUGAAGAGAGGGAGGGAGGAGGACAGAGAGGAGGAGAUGGAGGUGGAGGAGGGGACGGAAAAUCUGAGCAAGAAAGCCAAAUUCACAAAUGAGUCAUCUCUGGAAGACGUGAAGAAGCUGAAGGUCUGCAUCGAGUUGAAUGGCCUUCGGCUCAACAAGCCCCGCCUACCCGGGGAGUUCAACCAAUGGCUUCCCACUGGUCAGAGAUCAGCAGAGGCCAACAGGAAGUUCAGAACAGAUGUCCCAUCCAUCAGGGCGAGGUCAGACAUCAGCG
Long non-coding RNA from Astatotilapia calliptera (eastern happy), 743 nucleotides. Lineage: Eukaryota; Metazoa; Chordata; Actinopteri; Cichliformes; Cichlidae. The record is from Ensembl.